Molecule: unclassified non-coding RNA, 166 nt
Filed under: soil metagenome
Description: partial contains 5.8S ribosomal RNA, internal transcribed spacer 2, and large subunit ribosomal RNA
Source: RNAcentral
AACGCACGAGACCUGCGGACCUGCGGAAGGAUCAUUAGUGAACGCCCUCACGGGCUUAUAACUAUUCCAAACCUCUGUGGACCGUGCCCUUCGGGGCUAUUUUACAAACAUGGUGUAAUGAACGUCAUAUAUCAUAACAAAACAAAACUUUCAGCAACGGAUCUCU